Molecule: long non-coding RNA, 1511 nt
Organism: Syngnathoides biaculeatus (alligator pipefish)
Lineage: Eukaryota; Metazoa; Chordata; Actinopteri; Syngnathiformes; Syngnathidae
Exons: 2
Source: RefSeq, a predicted model, not a curated record
UUUCAAAAUAAAAGAUAUUUACUGCACUGUAUUCAGGUGCGGAGUCAAAACGACUAGCCGCUUAUUUCUGAAAAUGCCAGUGGGAAUGUUACCCGAUUGUGACGUCAUAGUUGGGAUAAUUUAUAUAAUGAGGACCAUCUGCUUCUCUGACAAUGGCUGAGCGGAAAGGCUAACCAAAGUUAAAGAAUCACAUUUGACACACUACUGAAGCACUGGGACUACUUGAUUUCUCCAUCAGGCAUGUGACUUAUCUGCCCAUCAGCAUGAACAGAUUUUUUUUUUAAGAAAAAAAAGAUUGGAUGCCUCAAUGGCCACCAAAACUGAAGUCACCAUACGCCAUCUUGAUACUCCCAAAACAUCCGCGCCGACCUGGGCAGCGACAGUGAUUAACUGCAUUAAUUGGUAGUUUCGUGGCUGUGAGAAAACAUUCCACAGGAAGCAGACGGAAGUGUCUCCGGUGGCGACGUCAGGCGCUUGCCGCAGCAGGUCCGAGGCGGGCAGGCCCACUGGAGCCUGUUUUGGGCUCGCGCAGGCUCCAGCCCGAGCGCCGCAGCAGCCACCGCGGCGUCAGGCUGACUGGAACCGCAGUGCCCGUAUUCCAGAUCCCUCCGCCGGCUUUCCACCUGACAAACAUGUUUUAACGUGUGUAGUUCAAGUCAUUGAACGCAUCAGUGCAUGACGUUAUUUUUAUUUAUUUUUUUAAACCAAAUACUCAACUAAAUCUAUACAAACGAGCAUUGACACAGCGACUAACUAUGAAAUAACAUAAACAAAAUGGGUUGUAUUUUAUUUGAAAAUUCUUUGGUUACCUUUUGAGUGCGGAGGGAUACACGAUGCCGCCGCCGCCGCUGGUGCUGUCUGGUCCGGUUGAUGACGCAAGCCCGGCUGGCGACGCUCAGUCUGCAAGUUUGACAUUUUCGGUUUACAGCAACUGCCGCGAAACAUCACCCCGCCGCCGCCGCCGCCAGGAGGAGGGGAAAGCGGCGUGUCCCCCAUUGUCUCGCUCAGAGAAUUCGUCUGCUGCGGGAGCGGAGUGGCCGGCGUCCGCCACGCCGCCCAGAAAGGCGGCGGUCGGCCGGCUCCGCGUCCCAACGUAGUCCGAUCGUUCGCUCGUGAAAGCAAAAUAUUAGAAACUGCACCAGUAUGACGUCUUAUAGUUAAACACUACCGUACUGCAAAAAUAUUGCCAUAUAUUUUGAACAUUUUUUCAUGUUCAGGCCCAAUUUGACCCCGUUUUGACAUUUGAGAGCAAUAAAAAAAAUGCUAUCACCCGGACUUUUUUUUUUGGUGAUGAAUAUUCCUAAAUGGUUAUUUGUAUGCAUUACCAUCAAAUUUAUAAAGGGUCCUGCAGAAAUCUUGAAAAUGUGAAACAAAAAAAGAAAUGAAAUCAUGCAAUUAGAUUGCCACCUGCAAAAAUUAUUCACUUUUCCCUCAAAUAUGAAGAAUUAACCAUCAUUUACUCAUGUCAGACAUACUUUGAACACAUUUUGAAAAUGAUCUGCAAUUCUUCA